GAUAGGGUGGCCGAGCGGUCUAAGGACGCCAUUUAGAGCUUUGUGCCUUGUCCUUGCUGUUUGUCACCUAGUGUAGUCUGGGUAGCGUGUGGCAGCUUGACAAUCGCUAGGCCUCCCCCUGUUCUCCCUUUGUGCCCAUGAGGGCUGCUUGCUCGGUGUGAGCGUUUUUGCCCCAAACAGUGUGACGGUGGCCCUGCCACUGGUGCUGUAAGGCCYCUCUCUCUCUAAGGCGCUAGUUUCAGGUACUAGUUCGAAAGAGCGCGGGUUCAAAUCCCGUCCCUGUCA
RNAcentral lists this transfer RNA (285 nucleotides) under Haematococcus lacustris. RNAcentral describes it as "tRNA-Thr". Lineage: Eukaryota; Viridiplantae; Chlorophyta; Chlorophyceae; Chlamydomonadales; Haematococcaceae. The record is from RNAcentral.